This 76-nucleotide transfer RNA is filed under the name Bradyrhizobium sp. RNAcentral's name for it is "tRNA-Lys". It matches the Rfam family "tRNA". From Rfam's summary of the family: Transfer RNA (tRNA) molecules are approximately 80 nucleotides in length. The record is from RNAcentral. Lineage: Bacteria; Pseudomonadati; Pseudomonadota; Alphaproteobacteria; Hyphomicrobiales; Nitrobacteraceae. RNAcentral also lists the same sequence under 3 other names.
GGGCGCAUAGCUCAGUUGGUAGAGCAGAUGACUCUUAAUCAUCGGGUCGUAGGUUCGAUCCCUACUGCGCCCACCA